CGUCCGGUGGAUGCCUGGGCUUGGGAGCCGAAGAAGGGGGCGGCAAGCGGCCAUAUGCCGUAGGGAGGUGCAAGCAACCGUUGAUCUACGGAUCCCCGAAUGGGAACUCCCGCCUGGGCUAAAACCCAGGCAUCCCGUAAGGGAGGGGAACGCGGGGAAGCGAAGCAUCCCAGUACCCGCAGGAAAAGAAAUCAAAUUGAGAUCCCCUCAGUAGGGGCGACCGAAAGGGGGAUAGCCUAAACUGAAUCCCUUGGGGAAACCUAAGGGAGAUGUGGGGUUAAGGGGUUAGGGCUAUCCCAGGUUAAAGCUUCCGAACUCCGGUGGAAGUCCGGGGCCAUAGAGGGUGACAGCCCCGUAGGAAGCUUUGACCUGGGAUCUCCUAAUUCCCGGAGUACCGGCGGUUGGAUUUCCGUCGGGAAGUUGGGGGUAACCAACCUCCAAGGCUAAAUACUCCCCAAGUCCGAUAGCGUACUAGUAGGGCGACCGGAAGGUGAAAAGAACCUAUGAUAGGGAGUGAAAAGAUCCUGAAACCGGACGGGGAUAGUCUGGUAGGGCGGGUUAGGUCCUGGAGUUGGAAAGCCCCGGCAACGGGUGAGUACAACUCCAGGAUUAUCCCGUCCUACCGUACGUUUGGAAGAACGUGCGGGGGAGUGUACCCGAGUGGCGAGGCUAAGGAGUCUAACUCCGAAGCCGCAGGGAAACCGAGUCCCCGCAGGGUCUCCGAGGGGGCCCGUUUGAAAGAGCGGUUAGUCACUCGGGUACGACCGGAAACCGGGCGAUCUACCCCGGGAUAGGGCGAAGCGGGUUUUAUACCCGUGGAAGCCCGAAGGGAUGGGAUAUAUCCCUCCCAUGAUCUCGGGGUAGGGGUGAAAAGCCAAUCGGGCCCGGUAAUAGCCGGUCCCCGCCGAAAUUGGCCCCAGUCAAGCCUCGGGUUAGGAUUCCAUCGGUGUAGAGCUACGGAUCCUGUGGGGGUUACCUCACAGGGUCCAACUCCGAAGCCGAUGGAUCCGUAGAUCCCGAGAGACGGGGUAUGCGGGAAAGCCGCAUAUCCGAGACGGGAACAACCGAGACCUGAGUUAAGGCCCCAAAGUGCCGGUUAAGUGAUGUCGAAGGGUAUCUGCCUCCUAAGACACCGGGGAUGUAGGCUUAGAAGCAGCCAUCAUCUAAGGAGUGCGUAACAGCUCACCCGGCGAGGAGGCAGGUCCCGCAGACGGACGGGUCUAAACCGGCCGCCGAGACUCAGGUCUACGGACCGUUGGUCCGUAUGAGGUAGGCGGGCGUCCGGGUGGCCUAGAAGGAGCUCCGAAAGGGGCUCUGGAGCCGCUCGGAAUGAGGAUCCCCGCGGUAGUAGGAAUCAGACGGGUGAGAAUCCCGUUGGCCGAAGGGGGAAAGGUUUCCCUGGCAAUGAAGAUCAGCCAGGGGUUAGUCGGUCCUAACCUAUCUCCCGAGAGGGAGAUAGGGAAAGGGAAGGGGGUUAAUAUUCCCCCACCGCCCAGGUAGAUGCGGCAACGCAAGCUCCUUUCCCGACCCGUUGGACUAGGCGGACGCAGGGCUGGAGUAAGUUCCAGUUACCUGCGCGAAGGGGGAUAGGGCCGGGAAGUGCCGUAAUGGCGAGAACCGGCUUAAACCCUGAUCUUCCGCCGAGGUCCAGCGGCUUUGAAAAGGGAAAGGAGAGCGAUCCUGGGCGACCGUACCGCACUCCGUUACAGGUCCCCUGGGUGAAAAGCCUAAGGCCGUGGGGGUAACCUGGCCGAGGGAACUCGGCAAAUUGGCCUCGUAACUUUGGAAGAAGGGGUGCCUGCGGUAGUGGGUCAAUCCUGCUACCGCAGGUCGCAGUUACAAGGGCGGGCCGACUGUUUAUCAAAAACAUAGCUCCCUGAAAGCCCGAAAGGGUUUUUACAGGGGGCGACGCCUGCCCAGUGCCGGUACCUGAACCCCCCGUUCAAGGGGGCUAAGGGCCGGUAAACGGCGGGGGUAACUCUGACCCUCUUAAGGUAGCGUAAUGCCUUGCCGGUUAAAUGCCGGCUUUGCGAACGGCGUAACGAGCCCGCCACUGUCCCCGGCCGGGACCCCCUGAACACGCCAUCCUGGUGAGAAGGCCAGGGACUCCCGAUGGGUAGAAAAGACCCCGUGAAGCUUAACCGCAGCCUGCUGUUGCCUUUAGAGAUCUGGUGUGUAGAGUAGCAGGGAGCGAUGAAUCCUGGCCGCUAGGUCAGGAAGAUGCGAUCCUGAAACACCUGCCUCCAGAUCUCUAGAGGCUAACCCGAAAGGGGACAGCGGUAGGUGGGCGGUUUGGCUGGGGCGGCACCCCGCCGAAAGGAUAUCGGCGGGAUCCAAAAGGUCGGCUCAGGCGGGUCAGAACUCCGCCGUAGAGGACAAGGCCAAAAGCCGGCCUGACUGCGCCCUGAACAUCAAGGGGCGCAGAGGGGAAACCCGGGCCUAGAGAACCCCGUACUCCCAUUGGUGGGGGUACGGGCUGGUGGAAAAGCUACUCCGGGGGUAACAGCGCAGUCGCGGGCGAGAGCCCCCAUCGACCCCGCGGUUCGCGACCUCGACGUCGUCUCCCCCUAUCCUGGUGGUGCAGCUGCCACCAAGGGUGGGGGUGCUCACCCAUUAAAAGGGGUCGUGAGAUGGGUUCAGAACGCCGCGAGGCAGUUCGGUCUCUAACUGUCGGGAGUGCUGGCCGCCUGAGGGGAAGGCCCGCCUAGUACGAAAGGAACGGCGGGUCGCGGCCACUGGUGGACGGGUCCUCCGACGAGGGGGUGCCCGGUAGCUACGCCGUAAGGGGUAAGCCCUGAAAGCAUCUAAGGGCGAACCCCACCCCAAAAAGAGGCGGCCUUUAAGGGCAGGGGUAGAAGACCCCGUUGAUGGGAUGGCGGUGUAAGCUCCGAGGGAUUCCGAGGAGUUCAGCCGACCAUUCCCAAUAGCCCGUGG
RNAcentral lists this ribosomal RNA (2934 nucleotides) under Candidatus Nanoclepta minutus. RNAcentral's name for it is "bacterial LSU rRNA". It matches the Rfam family "Archaeal large subunit ribosomal RNA". The record is from RNAcentral. Lineage: Archaea; Nanobdellati; Nanobdellota.